This 598-nucleotide small RNA is filed under the name Pongo abelii (Sumatran orangutan). RNAcentral's name for it is "processed transcript". Lineage: Eukaryota; Metazoa; Chordata; Mammalia; Primates; Hominidae. The record is from RNAcentral.
AUGCUGGAGGUUCGCUAGCCGAAGCGGCUGCAUCUGGCGCCGCGUCUGCCCCGCGUGCUCGGAGCGGAUUCUGCCCGCCGUCCCCGGAGCCCUCGGCGCCCCGCUGAGCCCGCGAUCACUUCCUCCCUGUGACCAACCGGCGCUGCAGGUUAGAGCCUGGCAAUGCCGUUUGGGUGUGUGACUCUGGGCGACAAGAAGAACUAUAACCAGCCAUCGGAGGUGACUGACAGAUAUGAUUUGGGACAGGUCAUCAAGACGUGAGUGCCGGGCCUGUCAGUGAGGAGUUCUGUGAAAUCUUCCGGGCCAAGGACAAGACGACAGGCAAGCUGCACACCUGCAAGAAGUUCCAGAAGCGGGACGGCCGCAAGGUGCGGAAAGCUGCCAAGAACGAGAUAGGCAUCCUCAAGAUGGUGAAGCAUCCCAACAUCCUACAGCUGGUGGAUGUGUUUGUGACCCGCAAGGAGUACUUUAUCUUCCUGGAGCUGGCCACGGGGAGGGAGGUGUUUGACUGGAUCCUGGACCAGGGCUACUACUCGGAGCGAGACACAAGCAACGUGGUACGGCAGGUCCUGGAGGCCGUGGCCUAUUUGCACUCACU